GGUUAAGUUAAUAAGGGCGCACGGUGAAUGCCUUGGCACUAGGAGUCGACGAAGGACGGCACUAACACCGAUAUGCUUCGGGGAGCUGUAAGUGAGCUUUGAU
This 103-nucleotide ribosomal RNA is filed under the name Psychrobacillus psychrodurans. Its description in RNAcentral is "partial 23S ribosomal RNA". It matches the Rfam family "Bacterial large subunit ribosomal RNA", at positions 1 to 103 of the family's 2925-position model. Lineage: Bacteria; Bacillati; Bacillota; Bacilli; Caryophanales; Bacillaceae. The record is from RNAcentral.